GUGUUUGCUUCAGCAGCACAUAUACUAAAAUUUGAAUGAUACAGAGAAUAAUUAGCAUGGUCCCUGCACAAGGAUGAUGUACAAAUUAUUAAAAUGUUUCAUAUCUUU
Neomonachus schauinslandi (Hawaiian monk seal) is the source of this 108-nucleotide small nuclear RNA. NCBI's taxonomy places the organism in Eukaryota, Metazoa, Chordata, Mammalia, Carnivora, Phocidae. The record is from RefSeq and is a predicted model, not a curated record.